AGAGUUUGAUCCUGGCUCAGGACGAACGCUGACGGUGUGCUUUAGGCAUGCAAGUCGAACGAGAAGCCCUUCGGGGUUAGUAAAGUGGCGAACGGGUGAGUAACACGUGGGCAACCUGCCCCUCGCAGGGGGACAACCGGAGGAAACUCCGGCUAAUACCCCGUACGCUUGUUGGAUCGCAUGGUCCGGCAAGGAAAGGUAGCUUCGGCCAUCCGGCGAGGGAUGGGCCCGCGUUGCAUUAGCUAGUUGGUGGGGUAACGGCCCACCAAGGCAACGAUGCGUAGCUGGUCUGAGAGGAUGAUCAGCCACACUGGGACUGAGACACGGCCCAGACUCCUACGGGAGGCAGCAGCCAGGAAUCUUGGGCAAUGGGCGAAAGCCUGACCCAGCAACACCGUGUGGGUGACGAAGGCCUUAGGGUCGUAAAGCCCUGUUGAUAGGGACGAAGGGCGAAGGGUUAAUAGCCCCCAGCUUGACGGUACCUUUCGAGGAAGCCCCGGCUAACUACGUGCCAGCAGCCGCGGUAAUACGUAGGGGGCGAGCGUUGUCCGGAAUUAUUGGGCGUAAAGAGCGUGUAGGCGGUUCGGUAAGUCUGCUGUGAAAUCCUAGGGCUCAACCCUGGGCGUGCAGCGGAUACUGCCGGGCUAGAGGGUGGUAGAGGCGAGUGGAAUUCCGAGUGUAGCGGUGAAAUGCGCAGAUAUUCGGAGGAACACCAGUAGCGAAGGCGACUCGCUGGGCCACACCUGACGCUGAGACGCGAAAGCGUGGGGAGCGAACAGGAUUAGAUACCCUGGUAGUCCACGCCGUAAACGAUGGAUACUGGGUGUGGGCGGAGUCGAAUCUGUCUGUGCCGAAGUUAACGCGUUAAGU
Molecule: ribosomal RNA, 870 nt
Filed under: uncultured Actinomycetes bacterium
Lineage: Bacteria; Bacillati; Actinomycetota; Actinomycetes
Description: bacterial SSU rRNA
Rfam family: Bacterial small subunit ribosomal RNA
Source: RNAcentral